Molecule: ribosomal RNA, 542 nt
Filed under: uncultured bacterium
Lineage: Bacteria
Description: bacterial SSU rRNA
Rfam family: Bacterial small subunit ribosomal RNA
Source: RNAcentral
CCUACGGGAGGCAGCAGUAAGGAAUAUUGGUCAAUGGAGGCAACUCUGAACCAGCCAUGCCGCGUGCAGGAAGACGGCCCUAUGGGUUGUAAACUGCUUUUGAACUAGAGAAAACCUUGGUACGUGUACCGAGUUGAUAGUAUAGUUAGAAUAAGCAUCGGCUAACUUCGUGCCAGCAGCCGCGGUAAGACGAAGGAUGCAAGCGUUAUCCGGAUUCAUUGGGUUUAAAGGGUGCGUAGGCGGACUGAUAAGUCAGUGGUGAAAUCUCUCAGCUUAACUGAGAAACUGCCAUUGAUACUGUUAGUCUAGAGUACAGAUGAUGUGGGCGGAAUAUGACAUGUAGUGGUGAAAUACUUAGAUAUGUCAUAGAACACCGAUUGCGAAGGCAGCUCACAAAACUGUAACUGACGCUGAGGCACGAAAGUGGCGGGAGUACAACAGAGUAGUAUACCUACGUAGUACGCACCGUAACGAUAGUAUACUCGUUGUUGGUCGAUAUGACAGUACGAGACGACCGAACGACGAAACGACGAAGUAAGUAA